GACGAACGCUGGCGGCGUGCCUAAUACAUGCAAGUAGAACGCUGAAGCUUGGUGCUUGCACCGAGCGGAAGAGUUGCGAACGGGUGAGUAACGCGUAGGUAACCUGCCUGGUAGCGGGGGAUAACUAUUGGAAACGAUAGCUAAUACCGCAUGAUAUUGAUUAUUGCAUGAUAGUCAAUUAAAAGGUGCAAUUGCAUCACUACCAGAUGGACCUGCGUUGUAUUAGCUAGUUGGUGAGGUAACGGCUCACCAAGGCAACGAUACAUAGCCGACCUGAGAGGGUGAUCGGCCACACUGGGCCUGAGACACGGCCCAGACUCCUACGGGAGGCAGCAGUAGGGAAUCUUCGGCAAUGGACGGAAGUCUGACCGAGCAACGCCGCGUGAGUGGAGAAGGUUUUCGGAUCGUAAAGCUCUGUUGUAAGAGAAGAACGAGUGUGAGAGUGGAAAGUUUACACUGU
This 460-nucleotide ribosomal RNA is filed under the name Streptococcus sp. oral taxon 070. RNAcentral describes it as "bacterial SSU rRNA". It matches the Rfam family "Bacterial small subunit ribosomal RNA", at positions 28 to 472 of the family's 1533-position model. Lineage: Bacteria; Bacillati; Bacillota; Bacilli; Lactobacillales; Streptococcaceae. The record is from RNAcentral.